UACAGAGGGGGCGAGCGUUGUUCGGAAUUACUGGGCGUAAAGGGCGCGUAGGCGGCCCGCUAAGUCGAACGUGAAAUCCCCAGGCUCAACCUGGGAACUGCGUCCGAUACUGGCAGGCUUGAAUCCGGGAGAGGGAUGCAGAAUUCCAGGUGUAGCGGUGAAAUGCGUAGAUAUCUGGAGGAAUACCGGUGGCGAAGGCGGCAUCCUGGACCGGCAUUGACGCUGAUGAGCGAAAGCUAGGGGAGCAAACGGG
RNAcentral lists this ribosomal RNA (253 nucleotides) under uncultured bacterium. RNAcentral's name for it is "partial 16S ribosomal RNA". It matches the Rfam family "Bacterial small subunit ribosomal RNA", at positions 524 to 776 of the family's 1533-position model. The record is from RNAcentral.